Aegilops tauschii subsp. strangulata is the source of this 742-nucleotide long non-coding RNA. RefSeq lists it as uncharacterized. NCBI's taxonomy places the organism in Eukaryota, Viridiplantae, Streptophyta, Magnoliopsida, Poales, Poaceae. The record is from RefSeq and is a predicted model, not a curated record.
CCGACCCACUAACCCACAGCCACACCCCACACCCCACCCGUCCACGCACACCACACACCACACAACGCACCCAUGCAUCGAUCCAUGGCCGGCGCUGGCAACUGGCGAGCGGAGAGGCGGCGGCCCCGCCUCCAGUAGCCUCCGGCGCGGCUGGCCCCUACCCCUGUCGCCCCCGGCAUGGCCAGCGCAUCGCCCGUCGCCUCCGCUGUGCCGACCCGGUGCGGCGUCGCCCCGGCGCGGCCGGCCCGUCGCCUCCGCUGCGCUGACCUGUCGCGGCCUGCUGUCACCACCUCCCCGUCGAAGCGUUCGUCCACGCCCACCGCCCGCCGACCCCGCACUCCCACCGGAGCUGGCCAUGGAGGUCGUUGACCCUACCACUGAUCGAUCUCCUGACGUCGCGCGCGCGACCCUGCGGAUCCAGUCGAGGUCGAGCAGCCACCGCCGGAUCUGAUGCGCGUGACCCCGCCGGACCUCCCUGCAUCGCCCCUCCGUGCGCGCCGCCGGCUCUGCCUCGCCCAGCCACAUCGCCGGCCACCCAGGAGAAGACGAAGAUUUGAUUUCUUUUUUACAAAUUUUUGUAAGGUUCUUGCACGAAACCAGGACUAAUUUCUUCUUUCUUUGUAUGCGGGGGUCUUUUAUGUAAAGUGUAACCACCACAUAUAUGAAUAUAUAUAUAUAUAUAUAUAUAUAUAUAUAUAUAUAUAUGAAUAAGCACUUAAGCAGUUCUCAUACGUUUCCUUGA